AGAACACAUCGACCUGCCUACUUUCGCGACAAUUUGGACACGUAGCAAGAGACGCUUUGCACACGAUCAGGUCAGGAAUUGCUACCCAUCAUUCAACGAGCAGUUCGACGUGUUGCACUCUGAGGCGGUUGUCUGGGAGCCGUACACACAGGACGCCAUCGAGGAUAGAUACCCUGGCGGAAUGUCCACAGUUUGCACAAGAGAUUACGCUUACUGGAUGAAAAAAUCAAAGAUCAUCUUCGACGUCUGUGUGGAGGAGAUGGCCCAGCAGAGGGUCAUGAGGCAGUUUGGGGCACGCCAGUUGGUCGUUUCUCCACCGACGGAGGAUCCACUUCCACAGAUCGUCCACAGGUUUACCAGGAAGGGAAGUACCAGGACCCAGACUUAGUGGCUGCAGAGGGUUCAAUCGUACAUCACAGAGUGGGAGACUGCGACGACACGGGUUUGGCCAUUGGAGGCCUUUGAUAUCGAUCUAUUCAACGGAUAUUUGCAGAGGUACAUGACAGCUACCCGAUUGAGCAUCAUUCAGCACUCUCACCCCCAGGAGAUAGCCGAGCCGAGUUUGCAAGAUAUGUACCCUAACCAGUCUACUUCAGGCUCUAGACAGC
Brachypodium distachyon (stiff brome) is the source of this 608-nucleotide long non-coding RNA. RefSeq lists it as uncharacterized. Lineage: Eukaryota; Viridiplantae; Streptophyta; Magnoliopsida; Poales; Poaceae. The record is from RefSeq and is a predicted model, not a curated record. The transcript is spliced from 3 exons.